This is an RNA transcript of Anopheles funestus (African malaria mosquito), 2062 nucleotides long. It is a transcript of the gene named protein catecholamines up, with no coding region annotated. The transcript has 3 exons. The record is from RefSeq and is a predicted model, not a curated record. Lineage: Eukaryota; Metazoa; Arthropoda; Insecta; Diptera; Culicidae.
CCAGAUGUUUUCCAACUCUUUCGUUAAAAAAUGCUGUGAAUCCAUGUUUGAAGAAUAUAUAAUACCGACACUAUUUUAUCCUUUGUGCAAAUACGUCUCCGACCGUGCAAUUCAAGUCGCAGCUGCAGUAGUAUCGUGUGCGCAUAAUGUGCUUGGUGCUUUAGAAGGAGUUAAUGCAGCAAUCUGUCCAACUGCGGUAGAAGAUCGAUCAAUAUCAUCAUUAUCAAGCGGUCUCUGAUAUAUCAAACCGCACACGUACGCAACAAGGUAGAGGAAAAAAAGAAACAAAAUGAAACACACGGAAAGCCGGGCAUUAGGUCCCAAAGUGAAGGUUCCGCUGAAGGAAGAAUCUACGUCCUACCGGGUGCAUAUUGCUCUGGGUCUAUUUCUUGUGAUCAUGUUUUUGUCCUUCCCGACGCUUUGCGGUGCCCACGGGCAGCACGCCCACGAUCAUGAUCAUCUCCACGAGCAUGAUCACCAUCAUCAUCAUCAUCACGAAAAUCCGAGUUUUAAAUACUCCAAACAUGCGAACGAGAUGUACGAGGAAGAACCGGUGGCAGUUCCACAUCAUCACCAUCAUCAUCAUGGUGGAGAUGAGAACCACGACCAUCAUCAUCAUCAUCACCAUCAUGAUGGUGGUCACCAUCAUCAUCAUCACGAGGAAAAGCCAACCAGCGAAAGUAAAGCUCCGAGAGAUACCUUCUACAUCUGGGUGCAUUCACUCGGCUCAACGUUGCUGAUUAGUGCGGCACCGUUUUUCAUUCUGUUUGCCAUACCGCUCGAUAAUACGGAAGAGAUGCAGCCGCGUUUGAAAACGUUGCUUGCCUUCGCUUCCGGUGGUUUGCUGGGCGAUGCUUUCCUGCACCUGAUUCCGCACGCCAUUCAGCCCCAUUCGCAUGCGGAUGGUCACACGCACGGUCACAGUCAUGGCCAUUCUCAUAGUCACGGAGAGGAAGGCGAGCACGAAAGCCAUGGACAUGACAUGCGUGUAGGUCUGUGGGUUCUAGCGGGCAUUAUAGUGUUCCUGGCAGUUGAAAAAUUCGUCCGUUUGAUUAAGAAAGAUACCGGACAUGGACAUGGCCAUGGUCAUAGCCACGGUGGUUCGAAACCGGCCGCACCAGUACAAAGUAAAGCAGCUGCCAAGAGCUCUCCACCGCCAUCCCCAUCCGAGAACAAGAAAGACAAGAAAGAUAAGAAACAAACGGAAGGAACGAAAUCGAAAAAGGAGGAAGCGAAAGCAAAGGGUAAAGCUGUCCGUAAGGAACCGAAAAAGGAAGCGGACAUUAAGAUCGCCGGGUAUCUUAAUCUGGCUGCAGAUUUUACGCAUAACUUUACUGACGGACUGGCGAUCGGUGCGUCUUAUCUGGCAGGCAAUAGUAUAGGUCUGAUCACGACCAUUACCAUCCUGCUGCACGAGGUCCCGCAUGAAAUCGGCGACUUUGCGAUACUCAUCAAGUCGGGUUGUUCGAAAAAGAAGGCCAUGCUGUUGCAGCUGACGACGGCAGUGGGUGCCCUAGCCGGUACCGUCCUUGCCCUCCUAGGCAGUGGGAGUGAUGCGGCGGAAUCAUGGGUACUGCCGUUCACGGCUGGUGGCUUUAUUUACAUUGCCACCGUGUCGGUUAUACCGGAGCUGCUGGAAGAAUCCACCAAGCUGUGGCAAUCGUUGAAGGAAAUUACGGCCUUGUUGGCCGGCGUGGGCAUGAUGGUAAUUAUUGCUAAGUUUGAAUAAUGGAUUAGAUAGAGCAGUACAAUGGAUGGGGUCCCGUGGCUGCCGUCUUUCUUCCUGUUGUACCUUCGUCAUCUAUACACUUCUAUUACGGAUCAUGUCUGAAGGUAAUUGAACACACGAUAGAACAAAGAUGAUUUGCUCUGUUUAAAGCACGUACUUCGUGCGAUACUUACUGCAGCGUAAAAGCGAAGCUGAGCUUUGUAUUAUUUUUUUUUUUUUGCACUUUUAAGCUUCCUUACACAUUAUACAUUAAAUGUUAUCGCCAAAAGAUUGUUGAAGAUUUGUUAGAUUUAAAGAAUCAAUAAAAUAACUGUUUUUAACAUGAUCAUGAAA